RNAcentral lists this ribosomal RNA (253 nucleotides) under uncultured bacterium. RNAcentral describes it as "partial 16S ribosomal RNA". It matches the Rfam family "Bacterial small subunit ribosomal RNA", at positions 524 to 776 of the family's 1533-position model. The record is from RNAcentral.
UACGGAGGGUGCAAGCGUUAUCCGGAUUUACUGGGCUUAAAGGGUGCGCAGGCGGAUAUGUAAGUCAGUGGUGAAAUCUCCGGGCUUAACCCGGAAACUGCCGUUGAUACUAUAUAUCUUGAAUGCUGUGGAGGUAAGCAGAAUAUGUCAUGUAGCGGUGAAAUGCUUAGAGAUGACAUAGAAUACCUAUUGCGAAGGCAGCUUACUACGCAGAUAUUGACGCUCAUGCACGAAAGCGUGGGGAUCAAACAGG